Non-coding RNA from Cinara cedri, 329 nucleotides. The record is from the annotation of a GenBank genome assembly. NCBI's taxonomy places the organism in Eukaryota, Metazoa, Arthropoda, Insecta, Hemiptera, Aphididae.
AGGUUGUCUUAUGGGUUUUUUAGUGUUUGGUUUCUGUUUUGUUGUUUGCCUGAUUAGUCCUAAUCUCCAUACAUGUCCAGCUCAACUUAAUCUUAUUAUUCUCAUAAACGACUGGGGAAUUAAAUCUAUAGUUGUUUUACAGGAGGAUUAAAGUGCGAUAACACAGAUAAUAGUGAUAGGUUGAAUUUCAAUAUGAAUUUAACCAAUUUUACCAAAUUUAACCGCAAAUUAUUGUGAAAGCAGGGUGACUUAAGAUUCAUGCACCUGUACAGAACCCCAAUUUAAACUAGGGGCAGGAUGAAAUUGUGUAUAUUCAUUGCAUUAGUCUU